CAUGCAAGUCGAACGAGAAUCUACUGAAGGAGGAUUCGUCCAACGGAAGUAGAGGAAAGUGGCGGACGGGUGAGUAACGCGUGAGGAACCUGCCUUGAAGAGGGGGACAACAGUUGGAAACGACUGCUAAUACCGCAUGAAGCAUAGGGGUCGCAUGAUCUUUAUGCCAAAGAUUUAUCGCUUCAAGAUGGCCUCGCGUCUGAUUAGCUGGUUGGCGGGGUAACGGCCCACCAAGGCGACGAUCAGUAGCCGGACUGAGAGGUUGAACGGCCACAUUGGGACUGAGAUACGGCCCAGACUCCUACGGGAGGCAGCAGUGGGGAAUAUUGGGCAAUGGGCGCAAGCCUGACCCAGCAACGCCGCGUGAAGGAAGAAGGCUUUCGGGUUGUAAACUUCUUUUAAGAGGGAAGAGCAGAAGACGGUACCUCUAGAAUAAGCCACGGCUAACUACGUGCCAGCAGCCGCGGUAAUACGUAGGUGGCAAGCGUUGUCCGGAUUUACUGGGUGUAAAGGGCGUGCAGCCGGGUCUGCAAGUCAGAUGUGAAAUCCAUGGGCUCAACCCAUGAACUGCAUUUGAAACUGUAGAUCUUGAGUGUCGGAGGGGCAAUCGGAAUUCCUAGUGUAGCGGUGAAAUGCGUAGAUAUUAGGAGGAACACCAGUGGCGAAGGCGGAUUGCUGGACGAUAACUGACGGUGAGGCGCGAAAGUGUGGGG
RNAcentral lists this ribosomal RNA (713 nucleotides) under uncultured bacterium. Its description in RNAcentral is "bacterial SSU rRNA". It matches the Rfam family "Bacterial small subunit ribosomal RNA", at positions 54 to 766 of the family's 1533-position model. The record is from RNAcentral.